GCCAAAGUAGUUCAGAUAGAAGAGCAUUAGACUGAACAUCUAAAGGUCCAUGGUUCAAUCCCAAGCUUUGGCA
This 73-nucleotide transfer RNA is filed under the name Pelodiscus sinensis (Chinese soft-shelled turtle). It matches the Rfam family "tRNA". From Rfam's summary of the family: Transfer RNA (tRNA) molecules are approximately 80 nucleotides in length. Their secondary structure includes four short double-helical elements and three loops (D, anti-codon, and T loops). Further hydrogen bonds mediate the characteristic L-shaped molecular structure. tRNAs have two regions of fundamental functional importance: the anti-codon, which is responsible for specific mRNA codon recognition, and the 3' end, to which the tRNAs corresponding amino acid is attached (by aminoacyl-tRNA synthetases). tRNAs cope with the degeneracy of the genetic code in two manners: having more than one tRNA (with a specific anti-codon) for a particular amino acid; and 'wobble' base-pairing, i.e. permitting non-standard base-pairing at the 3rd anti-codon position. Lineage: Eukaryota; Metazoa; Chordata; Testudines; Trionychidae. The record is from Rfam by way of RNAcentral.